CCCGGCCCAAAAUCAUGGUGUCGAUGGACCCAUCAUGCUCCUGUCCAAGCACUGCAGGUUUUCAGCGUCACAGCUGGAUAAGAUUUACAGGACACAGGCAAGUACGGCUCAUGCACUGAGCUCUGUCACCAUGCUUCAGAUGAAUCAGGCUAUGUGUCUGGCGGAACUCGGCUCACGUAUGUCUCCUGACAGUCCGCUUUCUCCUCUCCUCUACGAAAUUAGAGUCGCCACCGAUUACAUUCUCUAUGUGUCCCACUGUGCAGCACUCUCUCUAGGUAGAGGCAUGGCUUCCACGGUGGUGGCGCAGAGGCACCUGUGGCUUACUCUCUCCGAUGUUACGGAGAGGAACAGAACGGUCUAUCUAAACGAGCCUGUGUCGGGCCAGCGGCUUAUUUGGGCAGUCCCUCGAUGACAUUCAGGCUAAGUUUAAGCUGAGGAAGAAACAAACCAAAGCUUUGAGCAGCAUCAUCCCCAGGCGUGAUGCGAGGCCCAAACAGCAGGAUUAUCUGCACAAACCGGCACUGGCGCCUCCUCCCAAGAGGACUGUGGCGCCCGCUAGUUCGGGGCCCCAAACGGUGAAGCAGCACGUACCCGGUCAGAACUGGGCUCAGCGCCCAGAAAAAAAGACACAGCAGUCAUUCCAGCUUCAGGCCCAGCAGCACGGAGACACUGCAGCCCUUCGUUUUUUUGCCGCCAAAAGGCCGCGUUUAAAGUUCGUUCAGGGGUCUCCCAAGCACAACCCUCCCUAACACACACAUGCCCCAAUAAUUGCGCCUGAUGUUCACUGUGUGAAUGUUACAAAUGUGCGUUCGUCGAGUCAAAUAAAGGUUUCGUUUUGUUCUCAAAACAUCAUAAGUCAAUCAAGUCUGGGUGGGAAAGUGUUGCUGUUCCCAGCCGGCAUGCCAAAGGGCGACGACCCCUCCCCCACAGUGAUGGAGGUCAGUCAACUGACUGUCCAUCUCCAUGGGUGGUGCGCAUGCACAGUCUUACUGUGGGUACAGAGAACCGUUGCCAUGGGCUACCGCUUACAGUUCAGGGCCUGGCCGCCUUGCUUCCACUCUGUAAUACACACAGUUGUAGCAGAAGAAGCAGCAGCAGUGAGGGAAGAAAUAAACAACUUGUUGAACAAGAGAGCAAUACGAGUUGUUCCUGCUUCAGAAACGAACAAAGGUUGGUACAGCCGCUAUUUCGUCAUUCCGAAAAAAAGGAGGAGGGCUCCGUCCUAUCAUAGACUAGCGAGUGUUAAACAAAUACCUACAGGUUCAAGAUGCUAACACUCAGACAGCUACUGAGCGUGAUCAGACUGGGAGAUUGGCUUACAACUAUCGAUCUGACGGAUGCUUACUUUCACGUAGCAAUUCAUCCGGACCACAGGCACUUUCUAAGGUUUGCAUUCGAGAGCAUAGCCUACAAAUACCUGGUGCUGACAUUUGGCUUAUCACCCACCCCCCGAACAUUCACCAAAUGUGCCGAGGCGGCAUUGGCUCCGCUACGGGAGAAAGGUGUUCGCAUCUUAGCCUAUCUGGACGAUUGGGUGCUAAUUGCGAGCCAACCCAGUUUUCUACAACAGGGAUCUCCGAUAGGGAGGGUGUCUUUUCGCAAGGUUGUGUCCACAGACGAAUUCCUGAGGGGUCGGAGGGCUCUGUGCGAGGGUGCAGCAGUUAGAGGGGUGUGGACGCCAUCACAAUGCAAGCUCCACAUCAAUUAUGUGGAGCUAUUAGCUAGCUUUUAGCUCUGAAGCAUUUUUGUCCCGUUCUGACAGGCCAUCAUGUUCUGAUCAGGAUGGAAAACACAACCAUGGUUUCCUACAUAAACAUGCAGGUUCCCCUGUUAAAACUGUCUCACUCUCUGUUGCUAUGGUGCAGUGUUCAUUUUCUGUCACUCAGAGCCACACAUAUUCCGGGUCACUUAAACCUUGGGCCGGACCUUCUCUCCAGGGGGGGUCCUCUUGUGAGAGAGUGGAGAUUGCAGCCACUAGUGGUGGCUCAGACAUGGGACCUCCUCUCCCAGGCAGGAAGAGAGGUGAUUCACCAGCGCCCGGAACUGUGGCGACUACAUGCCUUUCUGUUGAAAGGUCCAACUCAAUAGCUCAGGGUCUGCCCCCAAAUGUGGUGGCAACAAUCCAGAGUGCAAGGGCAUCAUCUACUAAAAGCCUAUAUGCCUAUAAAUGGCGGGCGUUUGAGCAGUGGUGUAAGGACCGAAAUGUUCUCCCAUUUCAGAGUUCUAUUGUGGAUGUUUAAACAUUCCUUCAGGAGCUGCUGGAUAGGGGUCUCUCUUUCUCAACAAUGGAGGUCUAUAUCAGCAUGCCAUGUUGGCUAUGAUGGUGUGACGCCAGGCGCUCACCCUCUUGCUAUGCGCUUCCUAAAGGGAGUCCGCAGGCUGAGUCCUGUGCUUAAACCAAGCGUCCCCUCAUGGGAUUUAGCGCUGGUGCUUGAGGCUCUUGGUGGACCCCCAUUUGAGCCUAUUGAGUCAGCAGACAUGAAAUUUCUUUCAUACAAAACUGCACUGCUACUUGCUUUGGCGUCUUCAAAGUGAGUGGGUGACCUUCAUGCUUUGUCUGUGCAUCCCUCUUGUACCCAGUUCACUCUGGAUGGAUCUAAGGUUACAUUGCGCCCAAACGCGGCGUAUUUGCCUAAGAUUAUCCCCAUAGCCUACAGCUCUAUGAGUUUUGAACUACUGAGCUUCUGCCCUCCUCCAUUUGCAUCUGAGGAGCAGAGGAGGUUGCAUUCCUUGUGUCCUGUGCAUGCACUACGCACUUACAUAGACCGCACUCAGAGUGUCCGUUUAUGUGACCAGUUGUUUGUCUGUUUUGCUUAUCCAGCCAAAGGCAAGGUACUGGCUAAACAGUGGCUUUCCAACUGGAUUGUGAAGGCUAUCUCCUUAGCAUACGGCAGCAGGGGUCUUCCGUUGCCCCAAGGUGUGAGGACACAUUCAACCAGGGGAAUGGCGGCCUUAUGGGCCUUGUUUAAAGGGGUUUCUGUGAGUGAUAUCUGCACUGUGGCCAGUUGAUCAUCACUGCACACUUUUGUUCGGUUUUAUCAUUUGGAUGUGACAGCCCCUUCAGCGGCUCAUUCUGUCCUAUCUGCUGGGUCUACAAUGCACCAAAGUUUAAAUCGACUGAAAGGGAACGAAAUAUUAUGAAUAUAACUUCCGUUCCCUGAAGGAGAGGAACGAGGUACAACACUGGGUUGCCUGACUGCACAGCUAGGCUCGGUGAAGAGCGGCUAUCCAACUGAGGUAUGACUGUGGUGUUACACGUAUAUAUGUGCAGGCGAAGUCUCCCAGACGUCACCACGAAUCAUCUGCCACAAAGGCGUGAAUAAAGGUGUCUUCAGUCAGGCCAUGCAAGGGCGUGAUAUCCCAUACUAUAUGUGUUGUGCCUCGUUCCUCUCCUUCAGGGAACAGAAGUUAUAUUCAUGACAUUUCAUUUCUGCUCAUACACUGAUCACCCAAUCUGCUUCCAAGCAGUUUCAAAGGUAGAGGAGACCUGAACAAAGAAAAAAUUGUGAAUAAAAGGGCAUGACCAUGAUGAGCCCUUAAAACUGUGGUGUUCAUGUAUUCAUUACACAGGAAGUAGUUUUUUCCUCAGCUAUGCAUACACAAAUCUGACCCAAACUGGCCAUGCAUGGUAAGGGUCUGGACACAGCCAAAAGCCUUCUGAAAAACUAUCAUCUCACACCUGCUCACAUUUGAAGACACGAAUUUAGAGUUUUUAGUUGCAGCCUAGUGUCAGACUCCUCCUCCUGACUGGUAAGCAUGCGGAUUGCUUCAUUCCCUUCCUUGCUGUUGAACUGUGUCUAGUGUUUUGUUCCUCCUGAUAGCGUUCUUGCUGUUUGGGUUAUUUUCUCUCUUUAAUCUAUCAAAACAUCUGUUUGUUUAAAAGUCUGUAAGUAUUUCUGAUAGUUUUCACCAAGCACAGUCUUUAUCUCCAUUCCGGGUGAUCUCUCUGGUAGUUUACUGUACUAGCUCUUAGCUUCUCUUAGCUUAGCUUCUCUUAGCUUCACUUGCUAACGAUGGCUUCCCCCCGGUCUCCUGCUUCUCCUGCUUGCUUCUGCUCAGUGUGUCAGAUGUUUAGUUACUCCUCGUCCUCCUUAGACGAUAACGAUACCUGCUUGAAGUGUAAUUUAUUCUUAGCUCUGGAGGUGAGGAUUACAGAGUUAGAAAAGCGGCUCCGCACCAAUGCUAGAGUAGCGGUAGCCAGCCAGGACACGGUAGCCGGUGCAGGGCAGCCUAGCUUAGCUUUCCCCCCCAACCGAUCCCAAGCAGCCAGGAUGUAGUAGUGGCUUGGUCACUGUGAAAGAGAAGCAUAGCAGCAGGCCUAAGAAGCCCACGUUAGACCACCAUAUUCACAUUUCAAACAAAUUUACCCCGCUCAGCAACACACCUGCUGAGCCCGACACUCUUGUGAUUGGAGACUCUGUAGUCCGAAAUGUGAAAUUAGCGAAGUCAGCGGCCAUAGUUCAGUGUCUUUCAAGGGGCCAGAGCGGGCGACAUCAAAGGUAGUUUAAACUGCUGGCAAAGGCUAAAUGUCUGAAAUCUGGUUGAUUUUAUUAGUCUGAACCACUGACAAUUCAAAGCAGAGAUCAGGGAGCAGGGCCGCAGUCCUACACGCCCCCCCUGCGCCUCCUUUAGAGCAGCUUCCCAGCCACUACCACUUAUAUACAGAGACAAGGGAGCAGAGCUGCAGUGUAAAACGCCCCUCUGUACUCCCUUCAGAGCAGCUUCCUAGCUACAAUCAGUUUGAUAUAGAGAUCAGGGAGCAUAGCCGCAGUUCUACACGUUCCUCUGCACUUUUGUUAGAGCAGCCUCCGAGCUACUGUCACUUUAAUAUAGAGACUGUGUCUGUCCCUCGUCCUCGGCUCUUUAUUUCUAUCUGAUCGAUUAACAAAGGAGUAAAUAACAAGAACCUUACUAGAAUUAAAACUGCUAACAUAGCUGAACCGAGUAGUUGUAAGAUAAAAUGUGGUCGACUGAACAUAAGGUCUCUAAGUUCCAAAUCUGUGUUAAUAAAUGAACUAACCUCUGAUCAUCGCAUUGAUUUACUCUCCCUAACCGAAACUUGGCUGCAUCAGGAUAAAUAUGUCAGCUUGAAUGAAUCCACUCCUCCUAGCCACCUAAGCUUUCACAUUCCUCGGGACUCUGGCCGAGGUGGUCGAGUUGCAGCUAUUUACAAUUCCAGUCUUGGAAUUAACCCAAGACCAAAACUAGAUUAUAACUCUUUUGAAAGUCUUGUUGUCAGUCUUCCGCAUCCAGCCUCAAAGACCAUGAGACCAGUGGUGUUUGCUAUAGUUUAUCGCCCUCCCAGCCCAUACUCUGAGUUUUUGUCAGAAUUCUCAGAGUUUCUAUCUGAUCUAGUCCUUCUUGCAGACAAAGUCAUUGUUGUUGGUGACUUUAAUAUUCAUGUGGAUGUGGAAAAUGAUAGCCUAAGCAUUUUUUUUCUUGUCCUUGCUAGACUCAGUUGGGUUUACAUAGUGUGUACAUGGACCUACGCACUGCUUUAAUCCUUGACUCAGUUGCUCCUCU
RNAcentral lists this long non-coding RNA (5523 nucleotides) under Xyrichtys novacula (pearly razorfish). The record is from RNAcentral. Lineage: Eukaryota; Metazoa; Chordata; Actinopteri; Labriformes; Labridae.